This 74-nucleotide transfer RNA is filed under the name Candidatus Hippobium faecium. RNAcentral describes it as "tRNA-Gln". It matches the Rfam family "tRNA". Rfam says of the family: Transfer RNA (tRNA) molecules are approximately 80 nucleotides in length. Their secondary structure includes four short double-helical elements and three loops (D, anti-codon, and T loops). Further hydrogen bonds mediate the characteristic L-shaped molecular structure. tRNAs have two regions of fundamental functional importance: the anti-codon, which is responsible for specific mRNA codon recognition, and the 3' end, to which the tRNAs corresponding amino acid is attached (by aminoacyl-tRNA synthetases). tRNAs cope with the degeneracy of the genetic code in two manners: having more than one tRNA (with a specific anti-codon) for a particular amino acid; and 'wobble' base-pairing, i.e. permitting non-standard base-pairing at the 3rd anti-codon position. The record is from RNAcentral. Lineage: Bacteria; Bacillati; Armatimonadota.
UACGGGAUCGUAUAAAGGCAAUACAAAUGACUUUGAUUCAUUUAAUCGGGGUUCGAGUCCCUGUCCCGUAUCCA